GUGAGCUAUUGUUGCUGUUGCUUCUGAACUACAAAAUGAUUUUUAAAUUUAUUAUUGAAUGAGACUGUACAUUAUAAAUGUAAUGCUUUAACUCUAGAUGUUUGUUUGUGUAAAUGCUGUGUGUGCGUUGAGUCCUGCGCGAGCGGGUAGCAGAGUUGCCAUGGAAACGGGGCAUCAACACAAAAACCGUUACUGGCAAGCAGUAAUCUCCUCUCUCGAUGCAGUUUACACUGUUUUGGAAACGGUUUAGUGUCUUCGGAAAAGUCCGUUAUCAUUUUAGCAGUUUUCAGAUGUUUGUUUGUGUAAAUGCUGUGUGCGCGUUGAGUCCUGCGCGAGCGGGUAGCAGAGUUGCCAUGGAAACGGGGCGUCAACACAAAAACCGUUACUGGCAAGCAGUAAUCUCCUCUCUCGAUGCAGUUUACACCGUUUUGGGUAAGUUUAGUCGCUAAAAUCACACAAAUAUUACAUACAAAUGUUCCUGACACGUUUCUUGCUUGUUAUUGACAUGUUUCAAUUAAAUUUAUUU
Molecule: long non-coding RNA, 526 nt
Organism: Carassius auratus (goldfish)
Lineage: Eukaryota; Metazoa; Chordata; Actinopteri; Cypriniformes; Cyprinidae
Exons: 3
Source: RefSeq, a predicted model, not a curated record